AUUGAACGCUGGCGGCAUGCCUUACACAUGCAAGUCGAACGGUAACAGGUCUUCGGAUGCUGACGAGUGGCGAACGGGUGAGUAAUACAUCGGAACGUGCCUAGUAGUGGGGGAUAACUACUCGAAAGAGUGGCUAAUACCGCAUGAGAUCUACGGAUGAAAGCAGGGGAUCACAAGACCUUGUGCUACUAGAGCGGCCGAUGGCAGAUUAGGUAGUUGGUGGGAUAAAAGCUUACCAAGCCGACGAUCUGUAGCUGGUCUGAGAGGACGAUCAGCCACACUGGGACUGAGACACGGCCCAGACUCCUACGGGAGGCAGCAGUGGGGAAUUUUGGACAGUGGGCGCAAGCCUGAUCCAGCAAUGCCGCGUGCAGGAUGAAGGCCUUCGGGUUGUAAACUGCUUUUGUACGGAACGAAAAGCCCCGGGUUAAUACCCUGGGGUCAUGACGGUACCGUAAGAAUAAGCACCGGCUAACUACGUGCCAGCAGCCGCAGUAA
This 498-nucleotide ribosomal RNA is filed under the name uncultured bacterium. Its description in RNAcentral is "partial 16S ribosomal RNA". It matches the Rfam family "Bacterial small subunit ribosomal RNA", at positions 30 to 523 of the family's 1533-position model. The record is from RNAcentral.